This 433-nucleotide ribosomal RNA is filed under the name uncultured bacterium. RNAcentral's name for it is "partial 16S ribosomal RNA". It matches the Rfam family "Bacterial small subunit ribosomal RNA", at positions 29 to 507 of the family's 1533-position model. The record is from RNAcentral.
AACGAGCGCUGGCGGCAUGCCUAACACAUGCAAGUCGAACGAGACCUUCGGGUCUAGUGGCGCACGGGUGCGUAACGCGUGGGAACCUGCCCUUAGGUUCGGAAUAACUCCCCGAAAGGGGUGCUAAUACCGGAUAAUGUCUUCGGACCAAAGAUUUAUCGCCUUUGGAUGGGCCCGCGUUGGAUUAGCUAGUUGGUAGGGUAAAAGCCUACCAAGGCGACGAUCCAUAGCUGGUCUGAGAGGAUGAUCAGCCACACUGGGACUGAGACACGGCCCAGACUCCUACGGGAGGUAGCAGUGGGGAAUAUUGGACAAUGGGCGAAAGCCUGAUCCAGCAAUGCCGCGUGAGUGAUGAAGGCCUUAGGGUUGUAAAGCUCUUUUACCCGGGAUGAUAAUGACAGUACCGGGAGAAUAAGCUCCGGCUAACUCCGUG